Molecule: ribosomal RNA, 256 nt
Filed under: uncultured bacterium
Lineage: Bacteria
Description: partial 16S ribosomal RNA
Rfam family: Bacterial small subunit ribosomal RNA
Source: RNAcentral
UACGUAGGAGGCAAGCGUUGUCCGGAAUUACUGGGCGUAAAGCGCGUGUAGGUGGUGGGACAAGUCUGCUGUGAAAGCGCCUGGCUUAACCGGGCGAGGUCGGCGGAAACUGUCGCACUCGAGGACGGCAGAGGGGGGUGGAAUUCCCGGUGUAGUGGUGAAAUGUGUAGAUAUAUGGAAGAACAUCAAUAACGGCGAAGGCAGUUAACUAUUCUGUUACUGACGUUGAGGCACGAAGGCGUGGGGAGCAAAAAGG